AUUGAACGCUGGCGGCAUGCCUUACACAUGCAAGUCGAACGGUAACGGGCCUUCGGGUGCCGACGAGUGGCGAACGGGUGAGUAAUACAUCGGAACGUGCCCGAUCGUGGGGGAUAACGAGGCGAAAGCUUUGCUAAUACCGCAUACGAUCUACGGAUGAAAGCAGGGGACCGCAAGGCCUUGCGCGGACGGAGCGGCCGAUGGCAGAUUAGGUAGUUGGUGGGAUAUAAGCUUACCAAGCCGACGAUCUGUAGCUGGUCUGAGAGGAUGAUCAGCCACACUGGGACUGAGACACGGCCCAGACUCCUACGGGAGGCAGCAGUGGGGAAUUCUGGACAAUGGGCGCAAGCCUGAUCCAGCCAUGCCGCGUGCAGGAUGAAGGCCUUCGGGUUGUAAACUGCUUUUGUACGGAACGAAAAGCCUUCUUUUAAUACAGGAGGGUCAUGACGGUACCGUAAGAAUAAGCACCGGCUAACUACGUG
This 482-nucleotide ribosomal RNA is filed under the name uncultured bacterium. RNAcentral's name for it is "partial 16S ribosomal RNA". It matches the Rfam family "Bacterial small subunit ribosomal RNA", at positions 30 to 507 of the family's 1533-position model. The record is from RNAcentral.